AUGGGAUGGAGCUGGAUCAUCCUCUUCCUUGUGUCAAUAAUUACAGGUGUCAAAACUCAGGUCCAGCUGCAGCAGUCUGGGCCUGAGCUGGGGAAACUUGGGUCCUCAGUGAAGUUGUCCUGCAAGGCUUCUGGCUACACCUUCACCAGCUACUAUAUGCACUGGGUGAAGCAGAGGGCGGGUCAGGGCCUGGAGUGGAUUGGAAUUAUUGCUUGUGGAACUGGUGAAACUAGCUACAGUCAGAAGUUCCAGGGCAAGGCCAAACUGACUAUAGACAAAUCCUCCAGCACAGCCUACAUGGAGCUCAGCAGGCUGACAUCUGAGGACUCUGCGGUCUAUUACUGUGCAAGACACACAGUGCUGCAACCCACAUCCUGA
This is a non-coding RNA of Peromyscus californicus insignis, 378 nucleotides long. NCBI's taxonomy places the organism in Eukaryota, Metazoa, Chordata, Mammalia, Rodentia, Cricetidae. The record is from the annotation of a RefSeq genome assembly.